Molecule: ribosomal RNA, 338 nt
Filed under: uncultured soil bacterium
Lineage: Bacteria
Description: bacterial SSU rRNA
Rfam family: Bacterial small subunit ribosomal RNA
Source: RNAcentral
AGAACGAACGCUGGCGGCAUGCCUAAUACAUGCAAGUCGAACGAACUCUUCGGAGUUAGUGGCGCACGGGUGCGUAACGCGUGGGAAUCUGCCCCUUGGUUCGGAAUAACAGUUGGAAACGACUGCUAAUACCGGAUGAUGACGAAAGUCCAAAGAUUUAUCGCCAAGGGAUGAGCCCGCGUAGGAUUAGCUAGUUGGUGAGGUAAAGGCUCACCGAAGGCAACGAUCCUUAGCUGGUCUGAGAGGAUGAUCAGCCACACUGGGACUGGAGACACCGGACCCAGUACGUCCGUACGGGAGGACAGCGAAGUAGGAAUAGUUGGACAAGUGGGACGAAA